UCUUAGAGCUCGAGAUGGAGUCAAAUGGUGAUCCAAUAUGUGCCACGCUUUACCUCAUUUUGGAUAUCUACAUGAUCAGAAUAUCAACCAAGCAAAACCUCCGACCACUCCCCGGACCCUCGUGCACUGCCUGUCUCAAAGUUACCAUUCAGUUUCCUCUUUCAUUCUGCUCCGUUUCUAAACGACUGAGAAAAAAUGGAACUGACAUCCAUGACUCCUACCUUCAAAAUCUCUUAGCUAAAUCCAAGAAGACAAGCAAGAUCCCAUGUCUCUUACUUAAUCACACCAGUUUCCUGUUUAUCAUCUCCAGACCAAAUGACACCAACCAAAACCCUCUUCGGUUCUCUCAAAAAGAGCAACAUUCUAUACGGGAAUAGUGCUAACACCAUAAAAAAUAUACCUAUACCAACCAUGACUGAAAUAUUGGCAGCAAACUCUCCAGUUCUCUCAAACUCUAGGACCCUUUUUUAGAAUCACAGCCAAGAGUCUUGAAACUCAAAAUGAGCUUGGGAGAGCUGAAAGGCUUAUAAGGUUAUGGUUAAAAGGCAAGAUUCUUCAUUUAGAUUCAAUAAGAUUGAAAAGAGAGACGCUUGGCAUGGAAAAAUCCAUCUUUGGCAUUGGUUUGUUCAUUGGAGCUGUUGCUAUUCGCUUCUCAGGUUCUAUACAAGAAUUGGGUUCAAGACUGUAUAUGAAGAAACAGGCUCAACUGUAGGAGACCUUCCUCACAUGUUGGUCUGGGGUGGCAUAGGAACAAGAAUGGAUGCUGAUGUUGAAGAUCUUCUAAUAAAUUGGUGUGCCAGGUUUAAGAGUCGAGAAUGAAUGUUGAGAUCCAUUGCUCAUGCAGUUUAUCCUGCAAUCAUGAGGUUCAAAGGCUGGAAUUCUGAACUGAAAUGAAUUAUGUUUGGUUGAAGGCAUUGGCCUAAAUUAUUGCCCUGACCUGUUAGCUUGGAGAAAUAGAAUGAUUUUCCCGGAAAAUGCUCAUACUUUUCGGUUGGUACCAAGAUGCAAAUAAAUUUUAUUGCAGGUUUGAUGGGGCCAAAAGGAAGGAAAAGGUACUGCUCUUUUUAUAUGAUGGCAUAUUUCACUGGGAAGACUCGAAGUAUAAGUGAAUGCUACUUAAACUUGCAAGUCAUUACAUUUCCCUCAUAACAAUGAUGCUCAAGCACAGAACUUACAUGAAGAAACAUCAUUGAUUACAUAUUCAUCUACAGUUUUCUGAUACUGGUUAAAUACUCUGUUCAAGAUUUUGUAGGUGUUCAAGCAGUAAAAGCAGUUUUUGUAUUGAUUUUUAUUUUCUGGGAAUAAUUUGCUAGCAACUGCUUUCAUGA
This is a long non-coding RNA of Populus nigra (black poplar), 1328 nucleotides long. RefSeq lists it as uncharacterized. The record is from RefSeq and is a predicted model, not a curated record. The transcript is spliced from 2 exons. NCBI's taxonomy places the organism in Eukaryota, Viridiplantae, Streptophyta, Magnoliopsida, Malpighiales, Salicaceae.